GAAGCAACAACUUUUAGUCUGUUAUUUGCAGCAUUUAUGUUCGCAGCCUUCGACUGUUCGUGACACAGAUUUAGAGUCUUACCACCAACGUGAUCAUUUGAUCCUAAAACCAACAAAUAACGGUGAAAAACAACGACUUUUAGUCCAUUACUGGCAGCAUUUCUGUUUGCAGCCCUCAACUGUUUGCCAUUUAGAAACAUUUGGAUCCUGACUACAGACUCCAACAUGUCUCAAGGUGAAGAACCAAAACGUCAAGAAGUUGACCCCGGCGCUCUUCCCUGGGAUGAACCAGAAGACCCUUACCUCUCCUCUCUUCCCUGGGCUGAGCAAGUUGAAUUAGAGGAGAAGCGCUUGGCAGAAAUGGAGAAUGAAAAUCUUCUUAACAGAGAGAAGAUUGUCUUAUUGAUGGAGGAAAAUGAGAGACAGAGCGCUCAAUUACAAAAAAUGUCCUACCUGCUCCAAGAAAAGGAGAGUAUUAUUGAUGAAAAACAGUGGGAUAUCAAAGACAUGGAGGAAAGGAACCAAGAGCUCCAAGGAAAGCUGGAUGAAGCUCUAGAAAAAAUUAAAGAAAUCCUCCAGGAGAAGAAACAACAGGACAUGAGAGAAAGACAGUUGCACGAUCAACUUGAAAAGAUGGAGAUCAAAUACAGAGUGGUAAAAGCAAGGGAUGAUAAAAAUCAGGAAACAAAUAAAGAGGUUCUUCAAGAGAAAAGGCAGCAGCAGAUCAAACAAAGGCGAAUGGGCCGCGAGCUUAAGGACAUCAAGAAACAAACUGACGAGCUGCAAGUAAAGCUUGAUGAAGCUCUGCAAAUAAAUGAAGCGAUCCUCGAAGAGAAAAACCAACAGGACAUAAAGAAGCAAGACAUGGAGAGGCACAUGGAGGGAAAAGACAGGAUGCUGCAGGCAAGGCUUAAAGAAACAAUGCACAAAUAUGAUGAGUUGCUGCAAGAGAAAAAGCAACAGGAGAUGAAAGAAAAAGAAUUACAUUGCAAGAUUCAGAACAUGGAGAAAAACAAUGAAGGCUUGCGAGUAAAGCUCAAUGAAGCUUUGCUAAAAAAUACAGAAAUCCUUGAAGUGAAAGAAGAACUGGUCAUAAACCAGGGAGAAAUGCAAUGCCAGCUCCAAGGCAUGGAAGGAAAAUACAGAGCACUGCAGGCAAUGCAUUAUGAAACACGGAACAAAUAUGAAGAGCUGUGUCAAGAAAAGAACAACAGGACAUAAAGCAGAACGAAGAAAAACUUCUUCUUGUCCAAGACUUUGAGAAGACAAAGCAAAAACUGCAAGAACUUGGCAACAAAAUUAAGCACACAACAGCUGAACUGGAAGGAGAAAAGGAGAAAGUGCAAAAACAGGAGGCAACAGCUAAAGAACUCAAAGAAAGGCUCAAAGAAGAACAAGCCAAAGUAGAAGAAGUGGAAAAAAUAUGCAACAAACUUAAGAAGCAAAAUACAGAAACAGUGGACGAGUUGAGAUCCCUCAUACUAGAGAAGAAAGUGCUUGUGGAAAAGCAACUCAAGAAGAAGAAAAAGUGCUUCCGCUUCUUCC
Oreochromis aureus is the source of this 1545-nucleotide long non-coding RNA. The record is from Ensembl. NCBI's taxonomy places the organism in Eukaryota, Metazoa, Chordata, Actinopteri, Cichliformes, Cichlidae.